Long non-coding RNA from Lacerta agilis (Sand lizard), 348 nucleotides. RefSeq lists it as uncharacterized. The record is from RefSeq and is a predicted model, not a curated record. The transcript has 3 exons. NCBI's taxonomy places the organism in Eukaryota, Metazoa, Chordata, Lepidosauria, Squamata, Lacertidae.
UAUUACAUGGCACAGCGAGGCGGCGAGGCAAUGAAGCCGUGUGCACAGGGACCACAGCAGCCUCGCGAUGUCACAGCGAUGAGGCAACCAAAGACGAUCAGCUCUCAUGAAUCAGACUGCUCCAAGAGGAGGCAGCACAGUUUGGUCUCCAGACGGAGAAAAAUCCAAUGACAAAAGAUUGGGGACGGGGGGGGAGACGGACGAGUGUCACCCCUUGUUCCAGCACCUUGGCUUCUGCCUGCGAGUUGUCAGUCAUUUGCGCCGAAGGAGGAAGAUGAGGUCUGAGACUGCAUGAUAUAUUUUAAUGAUACAUAGCUACUAAUGUCUUCUUCAUUAGAUGAGCCAAGU